Molecule: regulatory RNA element, 68 nt
Organism: Scleropages formosus (Asian bonytongue)
Lineage: Eukaryota; Metazoa; Chordata; Actinopteri; Osteoglossiformes; Osteoglossidae
Rfam family: MAT2A 3'UTR stem loop A
Source: Rfam
GCUUUUUUCCCCCCAGGCCUGUUGGUGUAUACUACAGAGAAGCCUGCAAGGUCUUGGUGGGGGAAGGC